UACGAAGGGGGCUAGCGUUGCUCGGAAUUACUGGGCGUAAAGCGCACGUAGGCGGGUUCUUAAGUCGGUGGUGAAAUCCUGGAGCUCAACUCCAGAACUGCCUUCGAAACUGGGAAUCUUGGAGUCCGGGAGAGGUGGAGUGGAACUGCGAAGUGUAGAGGUGAAAUUCGUAGAUAUUCGCAAGAACACCAGUGGCGAAGGCGGCUCACUGGCCCGGUACUGACGCUGAGGUGCGAAAGCGUGGGGAGCAAACAGGG
Molecule: ribosomal RNA, 257 nt
Filed under: uncultured bacterium
Lineage: Bacteria
Description: partial 16S ribosomal RNA
Rfam family: Bacterial small subunit ribosomal RNA
Source: RNAcentral